This 270-nucleotide long non-coding RNA is filed under the name Lathyrus oleraceus (garden pea). RNAcentral's name for it is "Pisum sativum (pea) long non-coding RNA (PSAT_LNC027041)". Lineage: Eukaryota; Viridiplantae; Streptophyta; Magnoliopsida; Fabales; Fabaceae. The record is from RNAcentral.
AAACUUUUAGGUUUUUGCUUCAUACGUGAUUGAUGCAUUGAUGUCCUUAUGCACUGACAUGAAUGCAAAUCAUAAAGCCAUUUUGGCUAGAAUAAAUCACAUUACUUAUGUACAUGAUGACGAUUCUCGUCGUUAUGAGAGUAUCUAUAGGGAAAUGUGUGAUGUUUUUUAUUCUCAAUACCACAGUGAUGUAAAUGGUUGGAAAAAGGGUGCACCAGAGAGGACGUAGGAGAAGAUAGAUUGGUGUUUAAAAGAUGUGUUGUGAGAUUG